Molecule: ribosomal RNA, 464 nt
Filed under: Vreelandella stevensii
Lineage: Bacteria; Pseudomonadati; Pseudomonadota; Gammaproteobacteria; Oceanospirillales; Halomonadaceae
Description: partial 16S ribosomal RNA
Rfam family: Bacterial small subunit ribosomal RNA
Source: RNAcentral
CCUACGGGAGGCAGCAGUGGGGAAUAUUGGACAAUGGGGGCAACCCUGAUCCAGCCAUGCCGCGUGUGUGAAGAAGGCCCUCGGGUUGUAAAGCACUUUCAGUGAGGAAGAACGCCUGGUGGUUAAUACCCAUCAGGAAAGACAUCACUCACAGAAGAAGCACCGGCUAACUCCGUGCCAGCAGCCGCGGUAAUACGGAGGGUGCGAGCGUUAAUCGGAAUUACUGGGCGUAAAGCGCGCGUAGGUGGCUUGAUAAGCCGGUUGUGAAAGCCCCGGGCUCAACCUGGGAACGGCAUCCGGAACUGUCAAGCUAGAGUGCAGGAGAGGAAGGUAGAAUUCCCGGUGUAGCGGUGAAAUGCGUAGAGAUCGGGAGGAAUACCAGUGGCGAAGGCGGCCUUCUGGACUGACACUGACACUGAGGUGCGAAAGCGUGGGUAGCAAACAGGAUAGAUACCCUUGUAGUC